This is a non-coding RNA of Paragonimus skrjabini miyazakii, 80 nucleotides long. Lineage: Eukaryota; Metazoa; Platyhelminthes; Trematoda; Plagiorchiida; Troglotrematidae. The record is from the annotation of a GenBank genome assembly.
GGUUUCGUAACACAGCUGGUAGAGCGCUUGUGACGUUUAAGCAUACUGUUUUGUCGCUGGUUCGAAUCCAGCCGAAACCC